Molecule: long non-coding RNA, 3791 nt
Organism: Mauremys reevesii (Reeves's turtle)
Lineage: Eukaryota; Metazoa; Chordata; Testudines; Geoemydidae
Exons: 3
Source: RefSeq, a predicted model, not a curated record
CCAUAUAUACAUCAGGUCCCUUUUUAUCUUCUUUUGGUAUGGGAAUAUGUGAGGGGUGUUUUCCCCCCAACAGACCCUGAAUCAACUAAUGUGGGUUUGAAUGGUCAAUUAAAAUGCCAGGCUGCACAUGGAGGGGGAGCAAGCCUUAGCUGAUCAAGAAACCCAGCUGGGCAGGAGCAGGGUGAUAAAGAGAGGAAGUUUGUAAUAGAAAGGGGCUUAUCCUCUAGUUUAUUCUUUGGGAAUUCAGCAGGUGUAUGGAGGAAGCCUGGGUAACAAAGAAGCCCUGGGAUCCCAGUCUGACAAGUAGCUAGGAGACACAAAGCAGCCAUUGAAAGUGGAACUGGCUCCAGGAGUAAGCCGUGAUAAAAAUAGGUAGACUUCAACUGUGACCUGGCUGGAGGGCUGAGGCAGAGGGAACAGGAAGAUGCUGGCUAUUAGAGUGGCUGUCAGCCGGAUGUGCCAGAUACAGAGAGAACCACUACACCAUGCCUGGGCACAAAGAGAUGGUCCUGUGAGAGGGCUGCUGAGAGCGGGUUCGAGCCCAGGUGAACCCCCCCCCUCCAAAGGGCGGACCUACUAAACAGGGCCGACGAAGCUGGGCCCCUUUCCGGGCUGCAGAGUCCUGGUAAUUUGUACCGGCUUCCCCCUACUCUCGACGGCCCUGCUUUCAGACAAUCUUCCAUUCAGAAACAGACUGAUUUAUAUGCCUCUCUUCACCAUCAUGGUUUGUGCACUACUGUUGCUUAGUGGUUUCUCUCUCUCUCUCCCUCCCUCAGGAGGGAGGAACAAUGUGUGUGUAGUUUGCCAGUGUAUGUCACAUGAUCCUCCCUCCCCUCUGCACCUGAUCAAAAGAGUGAGAGUCUGCUACAGCCCUAGUUAGUAUCUGGCACAUUAGCUCAAGCAGUAAAGGCUUUUUGUUGUGGGAGACCUUAGUCCAGUGGUGGGCAACCUGCAGCCCAGGGGCCACAUGCAGCCCAUCAGAGUAAUCUGAUUGCAGGCCACAAGACACUUUGGUGAUGUUGACCAUCUGCCAGCAUGGCACCCGCAGCUCCCAGUGGCUAGGAAUGUCAGCAAAAUGUCAUGUGGCCCGCAAUCAUAGUACCCUGAUGGGUUGCAGGUUGCCCACCACUGCCCUAGUUCAAUCCCUGGUAUUGGCUAUGAUGGUGGCCAUCAUACAGGCAUGCUAGAAGAAAGGGGAUGGGGGGAGUAAAGGAGUUGAAGGGGGAAACAUAGAGAAAAGAGUAAUUGUCGCAUCUAUAUUAGUGGAUGGUAAUUUAGAUUGCAAAGUGGCUUCUCUUCAUGCACUCAACAGGACUACAGGAGUUCUGGGCCUAUCUCCCCUCCUGUUUCCCUUCCACAGCAUUGUAUUCAUCUCUCCCUCACUGCUCUGGUUGGGCAGCAGGACCAUGGCAUCUUCUCCUCUUCACUACUGAUUGAGAGUAGGGAGAAGCAACACUGGGCGCAACCCCUUUUUUGAUCCCCUACUGCACCCCAGUGUCCCUGUUAAGACCCUUGAAUGUUUUAAGUAUCUUAAACUGCCAUAGUAGCUUAAAACAUCGUCUGUAUCUUAAGCCUCUUGAAGGAUUUAAAGCAGGUUAAGUUCUUUAAGAUGUCUGAAGUCUGUAGGACAGUUUAAGCUGCUUAGAGUAGCUCAUGCCACUUUGGAGCCCUAAAGCAGCUUUAGGGCUCCAAAGACCCUCCUAAACCUUUAAGAAUAUCUUAAGCAGUUUAAACUGCUUUAAUCUCUGGUCUAUCAGCUUGUGUGUGCUUAUGGCAUGAGUGUAAUUACAGGACUCUGGGUGGAGACAUACGCCCACAUCUUUAAUGCAAAGAGGGAUGCUAUAGUUCACCCCAACUGCCAAGGGAUCCACUUGCAGAGUUCUCCUCCUCCUCCUCCUCCCUUGGUGUGCCUGGUGAUACUGUUGCUUAGGGUAGGAAAGCUCUUCCACUCAAGUCGUUCUCUUCUGCCUUUUAUUUGGAUGAGACUCCAAGCUGAAAAGGCACUUGGGUCCCCAUGUCAUCAGACUCCUAAUACUCUGGAGCCUAGACACCAGCACCACAUUCAGAAAACAUCAUUGUGUUGUACUCUCCAUUUGGUGGUUGGUUGUGGUUUAGGUGUGGGUUUUUUUGCCACAGUGUAAAUAAUUUGAGAAAAGACACUUAUUUGAUUGGCAAGCCAUGUUCCCACUCCAUGUAUCUUGUUCAGCUAUGCACUUUGAAACCCAUCUCUGUCACAGGCACCUUUCUGAGUCAAAUUGUGAACACUGUCUUGUUCUAUGUGUGGAAAUAUUGGACAUAGACUGUGUCCAAGUCUGGAAGUGACCAAAGACCACCACUGAACUACAUUCUAGACAACUGCCUUGCCUGGAAAGGGUGUUUGACACCACGUUGAAGGACUAGCACUAAGCCAUGGCUGUAAUCUGCGGCCGGUGACUUUGUGUCUCAACUAUGGCCCGCUCUCAGGGAACAAUGGGUUUUCUAUACUGGGGCCUGCAGAGGAGGAAGCAGCAAACAUGACUGAUGGGUCUGUAGCUCUGUGCAAGGGGCCAACCAUCACCACUGUAACGAGGAUGUACAGGAGAGGGGGCAGGAGUGACUGUCCAGCCUGGAAUGCUGACAAACCUAGCACUCACAGAAGGGGUGAGAUUAGACUAGGAAAAGGUACAUCUCAGGACUUCUGUUUCCAAAAACUUGUAACUCUCAAAUGCUUUUAGAGUAAAGUCACUGUGGUUAAAUUCCUUUGUGAAGCCUGUAUUCCUCACUGUCCUGUCAUGACAUCCCCAAAGGGGUUACACUAGAAAUCCAGUGCCCAUAGUCUAGGCAGGACUCUGGAGGAGCAUGUGUAAGUGACUGGGGCUUGGGAGGCCUUAGACCCUGAUUCAGGGGCCUAGUGCAUCUCGAUGGUACUCCACAUUCCAAGGAAGGACAUCAGAUUUGGUAUGAACCUCAGAGUGAGUCCAGAGCGGGAAGCAUUGACUUGACUCUAUCCCAGCUCUGCUGACUUAGAAGCAUGUGAAACUCAACAAUUGCCUGGGUCCCCUCACAACAAACUGGUGACCGUACGAUGUGUCACAGAGCCAGGUUGUAACAUAAUCAUUUAAAAAGUUUAUGGGGAAUACUUCCCUCAACUUUCUUCUCAAUUAAGUUUUCACACUGCAUUUAAAAACUUUCAUCCGGACCAACCCCAGGUUGAUUACAUUAUUUCCUUAUUGACCUCUUCCUGUGGGAAAACUCCUUUGUACUUGCAAAGAAAGUAAAGGACUGAUCACUCCCUCUGGAGGAGGGAAAAACCCAUGGGACGGACCCUAAGAGAAGAAUAGCUUUAAUGGGUUUCCCCUAGGUCAUUCAGUAAUUGGCCAAUGUAGAUUGCUAUAAGGAUCUGCAGUAAGCCAGGUGUGACACUGAGCCAGCAAUGGUUAAGCAACUAGUAGGCUAAAUGACCCAAAUUCAACCUUCAAAGACACAUUAGAAAAGUAUACAAAGGGUAAUUAGGGCCAUUCCUUAUAAAUAUCUAACAUGGCUUUGUUAGCUAAAUUAGUGUUUUGAAAUGCAAACUUGUAUUGUUAGAAAAUUAGAGGUAAAUACUAAUUGUAUUUGUAUGUGCUACCUAUUUCUUGUUAGAUGUUAACCAGAUUAGUUUGUGGAUGCUUUCAUGUCUUAAUUACAUUAUAUCAUGCUUGCAGAUGGUUCCGUUAACCUUAAGAUCAAAGAUGGAAGAUAUUGCAGGAAAUAAUACUUAUAUUUUCUUCUGUUGAAAUUCUCUGCCAUAACGAAAUGCCUUGAUAGUUUGA